GACAGAGGCCUCGAGCGUUAGGCGGAAUCACUGGGCUUAAAGCGCGUGUAGGCGGGUCGUUAAGUGUCCGCGUGAAAUCCCACGGCUCAACCGUGGAACUGCCGGGCAUACUGGCGACCUUGAGGCACUUAGGGGCGAGCGGAACAAAUGGUGGAGCGGUGAAAUGCGUAGAUAUCAUUUGGAACGCCGACGGUGAAAACAGCUCGCUGGGAGUGUCCUGACGCUGAGGAGCGAAAGCCAGGGGAGCAAACAGG
Molecule: ribosomal RNA, 254 nt
Filed under: uncultured bacterium
Lineage: Bacteria
Description: partial 16S ribosomal RNA
Rfam family: Bacterial small subunit ribosomal RNA
Source: RNAcentral